This 50-nucleotide non-coding RNA is filed under the name Chroomonas cf. mesostigmatica. Lineage: Eukaryota; Cryptophyceae; Pyrenomonadales; Chroomonadaceae. The record is from RNAcentral.
UUUUUUUUUUUUUUUUUUUUUUUUUUUUUAGAAAAAAAGAAAAAAAAGAA